RNAcentral lists this ribosomal RNA (501 nucleotides) under uncultured Oscillibacter sp. RNAcentral describes it as "bacterial SSU rRNA". It matches the Rfam family "Bacterial small subunit ribosomal RNA", at positions 8 to 507 of the family's 1533-position model. The record is from RNAcentral. Lineage: Bacteria; Bacillati; Bacillota; Clostridia; Eubacteriales; Oscillospiraceae.
AGAGUUUGAUCCUGGCUCAGGACGAACGCUGGCGGCGUGCUUAACACAUGCAAGUCGAACGGAGUACCCUCGAAAGAGAUUUCGGUCAAUGGAGAGGACUACUUAGUGGCGGACGGGUGAGUAACGCGUGAGGAACCUGCCUUUCAGAGGGGGACAACAGUUGGAAACGACUGCUAAUACCGCAUAACGUACGGGUAUCGCAUGGUACUGGUACCAAAGAUUUAUCGCUGAGAGAUGGCCUCGCGUCUGAUUAGCUAGUUGGUAGGGUAACGGCCUACCAAGGCGACGAUCAGUAGCCGGACUGGGAGGUUGGCCGGCCACAUUGGGACUGAGAUACGGCCCAGACUCCUACGGGAGGCAGCAGUGGGGAAUAUUGGGCAAUGGGCGCAAGCCUGACCCAGCAACGCCGCGUGAAGGAAGAAGGCUUUCGGGUUGUAAACUUCUUUUGACAGGGAAGAGCAGAAGACGGUACCUGUCGAAUAAGCCACGGCUAACUACGUG